Molecule: long non-coding RNA, 1095 nt
Filed under: Fragaria vesca (wild strawberry)
Lineage: Eukaryota; Viridiplantae; Streptophyta; Magnoliopsida; Rosales; Rosaceae
Description: long non-coding RNA (FVES_LNC005346)
Source: RNAcentral
GGAAUUCCAUUGGAGAACAAGUUGUGUACCUGGUCCAUAUUCAAGCCUUAUGGAAUGGAUUACUGCACAAGACAAUCCAGAGAAUUCUGGGAAAGUCUAAAUCAGAUUUAAAUCAAUAAUUCUACACUGUUGGAUCACAAAUCAAUCAAGGGCUAGGAGGAUAGCUAGGGUUUCGCCAAGACACUAUAUAAAGGAGCAGAGAGAAACGUUUCUUCAUCUCUUCUUCGCACAGUAAUCGGCAUUUUCGCACGAUCUUACGAGAUUGCGAACAUAUCAACGUUCUCGGAAUCUGCCGAAACCAAAUUCUUGGCUCCUUUUGGGACCUCCAUACACCCACAACAUUGAUCUUUCAACUUUUUUUGAGAAAAUUUGACGUGUUAUUUUUUCGCACGAUCUUAGAGAUUGCGAACAUAUCAACGUUCUCGGAAUCUGCCGAUACCAAAUUCUUGGCUCUUUUUGGGACCUCCAUACACCCACAACAUUGAUCUUUCAACUUUUUUUGAGAAAAUUUGAGGUGUUAUUUUGGCAUUUUCGCACGAUCUUACGAGAUUGCGAACAUAUCAACGUUCUCGGAAUCUGCCGAAACCAAAUUCUUGGCUCUUUGUGGGACCUCCAUACACCCACAACAUUGAUCUUUCAACUUUUUUUGAGAAAAUUUGAGGUGUUAUUUUGGCAUUUUCGCACGAUCUUACGAGAUUGCGAACAUAUCAACGUUCUCGGAAUCUGCCGAAACCAAAUUCUUGGCUCUUUUUGGGACCUCCAUACACCCACAACAUUGAUCUUUCAACUUUUUUUGAGAAAAUUUGACGUGUUAUUUUGGCAUUUUCGCACGAUCUUACGAGAUUACGAUCAUAUCAACGUUCUCGGAAUCUGCCGAAACCAAAUUCUUGGCUCUUUUUGGGACCUCCAUACACCCACAACAAUGAUCUUUCAACUUUUUUUGAGAAAAUUAGACGUGUUAUUUUUUCGCACGAUCUUACGAGAUUGCGAACAUAUCAACGUUCUCGGAAUCUGCCGAAACCAAAUUCUUGGCUCUUUUUGGGUACCUCCAUACACCCACAACAUUGAUCUUUCAACUUUUUUUGUAGAAAAUUU